CUUGCUCCUUUGACGUUAGCGGCGGACGGGUGAGUAACACGUGGGCAACCUACCUUAUAGUUUGGGAUAACUCCGGGAAACCGGGGCUAAUACCGAAUAAUCUGUUUCACCUCAUGGUGAAAUAUUGAAAGACGGUUUCGGCUGUCGCUAUAGGAUGGGCCCGCGGCGCAUUAGCUAGUUGGUGAGGUAACGGCUCACCAAGGCGACGAUGCGUAGCCGACCUGAGAGGGUGAUCGGCCACACUGGGACUGAGACACGGCCCAGACUCCUACGGGAGGCAGCAGUAGGGAAUCUUCCACAAUGGGCGAAAGCCUGAUGGAGCAACGCCGCGUGAGUGAAGAAGGAUUUCGGUUCGUAAAACUCUGUUGUAAGGGAAGAACAAGUACAGUAGUAACUGGCUGUACCUUGACGGUACCUUAUUAGAAAGCCACGGCUAACUACGUGCCAGCAGCCGCGGUAAUACGUAGGUGGCAAGCGUUGUCCGGAAUUAUUGGGCGUAAAGCGCGCGCAGGUGGUUUCUUAAGUCUGAUGUGAAAGCCCACGGCUCAACCGUGGAGGGUCAUUGGAAACUGGGAGACUUGAGUGCAGAAGAGGAUAGUGGAAUUCCAAGUGUAGCGGUGAAAUGCGUAGAGAUUUGGAGGAACACCAGUGGCGAAGGCGA
RNAcentral lists this ribosomal RNA (661 nucleotides) under Lysinibacillus sphaericus. Its description in RNAcentral is "bacterial SSU rRNA". It matches the Rfam family "Bacterial small subunit ribosomal RNA", at positions 79 to 724 of the family's 1533-position model. Lineage: Bacteria; Bacillati; Bacillota; Bacilli; Caryophanales; Bacillaceae. The record is from RNAcentral.